UACAUGUGGGGCAAGCGUUGUUCGGAAUUACUGGGGCAUAAAGGGUGCGUAGGGCGGUUUGUUAAGUCACUGGUGAAAGUUUGCGCCCAACCGUAAAAUUGCCUGUGAUACUGGCGAACUUGAGUGCGUGAGGGGUAGGGGGAACGAGGCAGUGUAGCGGUGAAAUGCGUAGAGUAUUGCUCGGAAGGCCGGAGCCGGAAGGGGCCCCACUA
This 212-nucleotide ribosomal RNA is filed under the name uncultured bacterium. RNAcentral describes it as "partial 16S ribosomal RNA". It matches the Rfam family "Bacterial small subunit ribosomal RNA", at positions 524 to 731 of the family's 1533-position model. The record is from RNAcentral.